CCUACGGGUGGCUGCAGUGAGGAAUAUUGGUCAAUGGCCGGAAGCCUGAACCAGCCAAGCCGCGUGCGGGAAGACGGCUCUAUGGUUUGUAAACUUCUUUUAUACGGGGAUAAAUCUGAAUACGUGUAUCCAGCUGAAAGUACCCUACGAAUAAGGAUCGGCUAACUCCGUGCCAGCAGCCGCGGUAAUACGGAGGAUCCGAGCGUUAUCCGGAUUUAUUGGGUUUAAAGGGUGCGUAGGUGGAUUUUUAAGUUAGGGGUGAAAGGUCGUGGCUCAACCAGGGAAUUGCCGUUAAGACUGGGGGUCUAGAGUGUGGUUGAGGUAGGCGGAAUGCAUGGUGUAGCGGUGAAAUGCAUAGAGAUCACGCAGAACACCGAUUGCGAAGGCAGCUUACCAAGCCAUAACUGACGCUGAGGCACGAAAGCGUGGGGAUCAAACAGGAUUAGAUACCCUAGUAGUC
RNAcentral lists this ribosomal RNA (460 nucleotides) under uncultured bacterium. Its description in RNAcentral is "partial 16S ribosomal RNA". It matches the Rfam family "Bacterial small subunit ribosomal RNA", at positions 338 to 795 of the family's 1533-position model. The record is from RNAcentral.